This 261-nucleotide long non-coding RNA is filed under the name Homo sapiens (human). RNAcentral's name for it is "HSALNT0076293". Lineage: Eukaryota; Metazoa; Chordata; Mammalia; Primates; Hominidae. The record is from RNAcentral.
AGUCCAGAAACAAAGCAGGAAGUUGAGUUUAAGCAACUCCACAGCAGAAUGACCGAGUCACUUUUUCUUUGAAUGUAAAAUAUAAUAAUAGAAACUACCAUUUAUUCCUUACCUACUAUAAACUAGCCACUCCACCAUACAAAUUAAGAAUGUCAUCACAACUCUCUUGUAAACAGGUGGUGGUCACCCUGUUUCAUGGAUGAAAAAUCAGAGGCUUAGACAGGUGGAGAAAUUGGGCUAUAUUACACAACCUAUUAAGUG